Molecule: long non-coding RNA, 227 nt
Filed under: Elaeis guineensis (African oil palm)
Lineage: Eukaryota; Viridiplantae; Streptophyta; Magnoliopsida; Arecales; Arecaceae
Description: long non-coding RNA (EGUI_LNC013161)
Source: RNAcentral
GUGCCGCUUUGUAGCCUUCUUGUUUUUCUUUUUUGUAAUAGUACCCUUCAUGGCCAUUGUAAAAUUUAAGAGAAAUAAAUAAAAUUUAUCUUAAUCAUAUCUUGUCCUUUUUACUUGUGCAUGCCGAUCCGAGGCGAUCAUUUGUUAAUACCGCUUCAAAGCAAUUAGUUAAUAAUAUCGCUCCGAGAUGAUUGGCCGAGUGGUAACUUCAUUCUGCUCUUUUGAUA